Molecule: ribosomal RNA, 194 nt
Filed under: uncultured eukaryote
Lineage: Eukaryota
Description: partial 18S ribosomal RNA
Rfam family: Eukaryotic small subunit ribosomal RNA
Source: RNAcentral
UCAACCUGGUUGAUCCUGCCAGUAGUCAUAUGCUUGUUUCAAGGAUUAAGCCAUGCAAGCCUUAGAGUAACUGGACUAAUAGGAGGUCUGCGAACGGCUCAUUAAAUCAGUGAUUAUCUACCGGGAGAAUCGCAGGUCACACUGCUUCAUGGUAUUUAAACCAACCAACGAGUAACAAUUGGAGGACAAGUCUG